RNAcentral lists this ribosomal RNA (253 nucleotides) under uncultured bacterium. RNAcentral's name for it is "partial 16S ribosomal RNA". It matches the Rfam family "Bacterial small subunit ribosomal RNA", at positions 524 to 776 of the family's 1533-position model. The record is from RNAcentral.
UACGUAGGGGGCAAGCGUUGUCCGGAAUCAUUGGGCGUAAAGCGCGCGUAGGCGGCCCGGUAAGUCCGUUGUAAAAGUCAAAGGCUCAACCUUUGAACGCCGAUGGAUACUGCCGGGCUAGAGUCCGGAAGAGGCGAGUGGAAUUCCUGGUGUAGCGGUGGAAUGCGCAGAUAUCAGGAGGAACACCGAUAGCGAAGGCAGCUCGCUGGGACGGUACUGACGCUGAGGCGCGAAAGCUAGGGGAGCGAACAGG